This is a long non-coding RNA of Cyprinus carpio (common carp), 359 nucleotides long. The record is from Ensembl. NCBI's taxonomy places the organism in Eukaryota, Metazoa, Chordata, Actinopteri, Cypriniformes, Cyprinidae.
UGGACGGCCGUCUCUCUCUCAGACGCUCAACAGGUCUCAUGUUCAUUCUCUCUCAGAUCUGGAGAGGUAAAAGAAGGAAGACUGAACAUACAGGGCAUCGUAUAUUCAGGUCCAUGGAAGGCUCUUUUCCUCACUUUUCUCAUCUGUGCUCUUCUGGGUUCAGUUGGGUUCAUCCUCUACAAAUACAGAGAGAAACUAACAGGGAAGAAACCAGUCAAAGAAAUUUGUGAGGAGGAAACUAUCGAGAGACUGUCAAAAGAAGGUAUUUGAAGAAGUUUAUCUGUGCAAUACUUUUAUAACGGCAGCUGCUGAAGUGACCCACUAAAUGUCAAAUAAACACUCAUGUGCAUGUUGUAGCA